GGGAUUGCCCUAGUAACGGCGAGUGAAGCGGCAACAGCUCAAAUUUGAAAUCUGGCGCAAGCCCGAGUUGUAAUUUGUAGAGGAUGCUUCUGGGUAGCGACCGGUCUAAGUUCCUUGGAACAGGACGUCAUAGAGGGUGAGAAUCCCGUAUGUGACCGGCCCGCACCCUUUACGUAGCUCCUUCGACGAGUCGAGUUGUUUGGGAAUGCAGCUCUAAAUGGGAGGUAAAUUUCUUCUAAAGCUAAAUACCGGCCAGAGACCGAUAGCGCACAAGUAGAGUGAUCGAAAGAUGAAAAGUACUUUGGAAAGAGAGUUAAAAAGCACGUGAAAUUGUUGAAAGGGAAGCGCCUGCAACCAGACUUCGCGGCAGUGUUCCGCCGGUCUUCUGACCGGUUUAUUCUCUGUCGCGAGGCCAUCAUCGUCUGGGCCCGCCGGAUAAGACCUUAGGAAUGUAGCUCACCUUCGGGGGAGUGUUAUAGCCUAUGGUGAUGCGGCGAGGCUCGGGCGAGGUCCGCGCUUCGGCAAGGAUGAUGGCGUAAUGGUUGUCGGCGGCCCGUCUUGAAACACGGACCAAGGAGUCUAACAUCUAUGCGAGUGUUCGGGUGUCAAACCCCUACGCGUAAUGAAAGUGAACGGAGGUGGGAACCGCAAGGUGCACCAUCGACCGAUCCUGAUGUCCUCGGAUGGAUUUGAGUAAGAGCAUAGCUGUUGGGACCCGAAAGAUGGUGAACUAUGCCUGAAUAGGGUGAAGCCAGAGGAAACUCUGGUGGAGGCUCGCAGCGGUUCUGACGUGCAAAUCGAUCGUCAAAUUUGGGUAUAGGGGCG
Molecule: ribosomal RNA, 825 nt
Filed under: Septoria hippocastani
Lineage: Eukaryota; Fungi; Ascomycota; Dothideomycetes; Mycosphaerellales; Mycosphaerellaceae
Also listed under: 2 other names
Description: eukaryotic LSU rRNA
Rfam family: Eukaryotic large subunit ribosomal RNA
Source: RNAcentral